Molecule: ribosomal RNA, 497 nt
Filed under: uncultured bacterium
Lineage: Bacteria
Description: partial 16S ribosomal RNA
Rfam family: Bacterial small subunit ribosomal RNA
Source: RNAcentral
GAUGAACGCUGGCGGCGUGCCUAAUACAUGCAAGUCGAGCGAACAGACGAGGAGCUUGCUCCUCUGACGUUAGCGGCGGACGGGUGAGUAACACGUGGAUAACCUACCUAUAAGACUGGGAUAACUUCGGGAAACCGGAGCUAAUACCGGAUAAUAUAUUGAACCGCAUGGUUCAAUAGUGAAAGACGGUUUUGCUGUCACUUAUAGAUGGAUCCGCGCCGCAUUAGCUAGUUGGUAAGGUAACGGCUUACCAAGGCAACGAUGCGUAGCCGACCUGAGAGGGUGAUCGGCCACACUGGAACUGAGACACGGUCCAGACUCCUACGGGAGGCAGCAGUAGGGAAUCUUCCGCAAUGGGCGAAAGCCUGGCGGAGCAACGCCGCGUGAGUGAUGAAGGUCUUCGUAUCGUAAAACUCUGUUAUUAGGGAAGAACAAAUGUGUAAGUAACUAUGCACGUCUUGACGGUACCUAAUCAGAAAGCCACGGCUAACUACGUG